Molecule: ribosomal RNA, 450 nt
Filed under: uncultured bacterium
Lineage: Bacteria
Description: bacterial SSU rRNA
Rfam family: Bacterial small subunit ribosomal RNA
Source: RNAcentral
GUGGGGAAUAUUGGACAAUGGGCGAAAGCCUGAUCCAGCCAUGCCGCGUGUGUGAAGAAGGUCUUCGGAUUGUAAAGCACUUUAAGUUGGGAGGAAGGGCAGUAAGUUAAUACCUUGCUGUUUUGACGUUACCGACAGAAUAAGCACCGGCUAACUUCGUGCCAGCAGCCGCGGUAAUACGAAGGGUGCAAGCGUUAAUCGGAAUUACUGGGCGUAAAGCGCGCGUAGGUGGUUUUGUAAGUUGGAGGUGAAAUCCCCGGGCUCAACCUGGGAACUGCCUCCAAAACUACUGGGCUAGAGUACGGUAGAGGGUAGUGGAAUUUCCUGUGUAGCGGUGAAAUGCGUAGAUAUAGGAAGGAACACCAGUGGCGAAGGCGACUACCUGGACUGAUACUGACACUGAGGUGCGAAAGCGUGGGGAGCAAACAGGAUUAGAUACCCGGGUAGUCC